This 274-nucleotide ribosomal RNA is filed under the name uncultured bacterium. RNAcentral describes it as "partial 16S ribosomal RNA". It matches the Rfam family "Bacterial small subunit ribosomal RNA", at positions 523 to 796 of the family's 1533-position model. The record is from RNAcentral.
AUACGGAGGGGACUAGCGUUGUUCGGAAUUACUGGGCGUAAAGAGUUCGUAGGCGGAUAAGCAAGUAAGAGGUGAAAGCCCAGGGCUCAACCCUGGAACUGCCUUUUAAACUGCUUAUCUAGAGACCGGUAGAGGUUAGGGGAAUACCUAGUGUAGAGGUGAAAUUCGUAGAUAUUAGGUGGAACACCAGUGGCGAAGGCGCCUAACUGGACCGGUACUGACGCUGAGGAACGAAAGCGUGGGGAGCAAACGGGAUUAGAAACCCCUGUAGUCC